GUGAAUCAUCGAAUCUUUGAACGCAAAUUGCACUCUCUGGUAUUCCGGAGAGUAUGCCUGUUUGAGGGUCAGUUAAAUAAAAAUCGGUGUUGUUGCUGGCUUUCGUUGGUACGCGUCGGAUUUAAGUCGUCUUACCUUCGGUUAAGCGUCUUAAAAUUUUUGCAUGAUUUUCGAGCGUGUUUAAAUAGGUUAUAUAUCUUUAAGAU
This 206-nucleotide unclassified non-coding RNA is filed under the name Glomeraceae sp. RNAcentral describes it as "partial contains 5.8S ribosomal RNA and internal transcribed spacer 2". The stretch from base 1 to 71 matches the Rfam family "5.8S ribosomal RNA", at positions 84 to 154 of the family's 154-position model. The record is from RNAcentral. Lineage: Eukaryota; Fungi; Glomeromycota; Glomeromycetes; Glomerales; Glomeraceae.